UGGGGAAUAUUGCACAAUGGAGGGAACUCUGAUGCAGCGACGCCGCGUGAACGAAGAAGGCUUUCGAGUCGUAAAGUUCUUUUAUAUGGGAAGAUAAUGACGGUACCAUAAGAAAAAGCCCCGGCUAACUACGUGCCAGCAGCCGCGGUAAUACGUAGGGGGCUAGCGUUGUCCGGAAUCACUGGGCGUAAAGGGUUCGCAGGCGGAAAUGCAAGUCAGGUGUAAAAGGCAGUAGCUUAACUACUGUAAGCAUUUGAAACUGCAUAUCUUGAGAAGAGUAGAGGUAAGUGGAAUUUUUCGUGUAGCGGUGAAAUGCGUAGAUAUUAAAAAGAAUACCGGUGGCGAAGGCGACUUACUGGGCUCAUUCUGACGCUGAGGAACGAAAGCGUGGGUAGCAAACAGG
This 403-nucleotide ribosomal RNA is filed under the name bacterium. Its description in RNAcentral is "partial 16S ribosomal RNA". It matches the Rfam family "Bacterial small subunit ribosomal RNA", at positions 355 to 776 of the family's 1533-position model. The record is from RNAcentral. RNAcentral also lists the same sequence under 2 other names.